UUUGAUCAUGGCCCAGAUUGGGAACGCUGGCGGGAUGCUUCUGCACACGUGUCGAACGGCAGCACGGACUUCGGUCUGGUGGCAGUAUGAAUCGGUGGAGUAAUGUAUCGGAACGCCUUAUGGGGAUAACUACGCGAAAGCGUAGCCAUUACCGCAUAACGCCCCUUCGGGGAAAGCGGGGACCUUCGGCCCGCACUAUUAGAGUGGCCGCCGAUAUCGGAUUAGCGAAGGUGUAACGGCUCACCAAGGCGACGAUCCGGCUGGUUUGAGAGGACGACCAGCCACAUCAGACUGAGACACGGCCCACCCGCCGGAGGCAGCAGUGGGAAUUUUGGACAAUGGGGAAACCCCGAUCCAGCCAUCCCGCGGUGCGUGGGCCUCUGGUUGUAAAGCACUUUGGCAGGAAAGAAACGGCACUGGGAUAAUACCCGUGCAACUGACGGUACUCGCAGAAUAAGUAAUUUAGCUAACUACGUGCCAGCAGCCGCGGUAAUACGUAGGGUGCAAGCGUUAAUCGGAAUUACUGGGCGUAAAGCGUAUAUAGCGGCUCAAUAAGUGUUGCAGAUGUGAAAUCCCAGAGCUUAACUUUCUUUGAACUGCAUUUUUAACUACUGAGCUAGAGGUCGAGGGAGGUGAAUUCAGUAGCAGUAAAAUGCGUAGAUAUGCGGAGGAACACCGAUGGCGAAGUGCGCCUCCGAUAACACUGACGCUCAUGCACGAAAGCGCGUGGGGAGCAAACAGGAUUAGAUACCCUGUAGUCCACGCCCUGGAAACGAUGUCAAUUCCAGAAGCUGUUGGGGCCUUCGGCUCGGUAGCGCAGCUAACGCGUGAAGUUGACCGCCUGGGGAGUACGGUCGGAUUAAAACCUCAAAGGAAUUGACGGGAUCCGCACAAGCGGUGGAUGAUGUGGAUUAAUUCGAUGCAACGCGAAAAACCCUACCUACCUGGAUAUGUCUGGAAUCCCGAAGAGAUUUGGGAGUGCUCGCAAGAGAACCGGAACAAGAAGGUUGUGAUGGCUGUCGUCAGCUCGUGUCGUGAGAUGUUAAGAAGUCCGCAACGAGCGCAACCUCGUCAUUAGUUGCUACGAAAGGGCACUCUAAUGAGACUGCCGGUGACAAAACCGAGGAAGGUGGGGAUGACGUCAAGUCCUCAUGGCCCUUAUGGGUAGGGCUUCACACGUCAUACAAUGGUCGGGACAGAGGGUCGCCAACCCGCGAGGGGGAGCCAAUCCCAGAAACCCGAUCGUCCGGAUCGUGGUCGUAACUCGACUGCGUGAAGUCGGAAUCGCUAGUAAUCGUGGAUCACAUGUUCGUGUGAAUACGUCUCGGUCUUGUACACACUGCCCGUCAUGACCAAGGGGAGUGGGUUUUACCAGAAGUGAAGCUAGCCUAACCGUAAGGAGGGCGAUUACCACGGUAGGAUUCAUGACUGGGGUGAAGUCGUAACAAAGGCAG
Molecule: ribosomal RNA, 1454 nt
Filed under: uncultured Bordetella sp.
Lineage: Bacteria; Pseudomonadati; Pseudomonadota; Betaproteobacteria; Burkholderiales; Alcaligenaceae
Description: partial 16S-23S ribosomal RNA intergenic spacer
Rfam family: Bacterial small subunit ribosomal RNA
Source: RNAcentral